GUACCCCUUCCGACCCAGAUUUGUCUAAAAUAGGCUAAAAUCUGUUUUUUUUUCAAGGGGCAUAUUAAUUCCCCAUUAAACACACAGAAGCAGUUUGGUUGCUUCUGAUGUAUCCUGUCUAGGGAAACAUUU
Molecule: small nucleolar RNA, 132 nt
Organism: Tribolium madens (black flour beetle)
Lineage: Eukaryota; Metazoa; Arthropoda; Insecta; Coleoptera; Tenebrionidae
Product: small nucleolar RNA SNORA26
Exons: 1
Source: RefSeq, a predicted model, not a curated record